UUAAUCAAGUUGCUCGUACCAAAAAAGGAGAGGACAACGUAAGAGGGAUAAACGGGAUAGUAGAGAGACGAUCGUGGAAGAGAAAUGGACGUUGCCGACAGUGUGGAUAGAAGUGAAGACGUGAACGGAACGAUGACAAAGGGAUGAAAGGAUAAGGAGCGAGAUUGCGCGCGCGCGAGAGACAGACAGAGAGAGAAAGGGAGAGGGAAGGGAAUGCGAGAGAUAAGACGAGGAGGUUCGAGUGGAAGAAGGAGCAGGUGGGGACAUGGAACGGAGCGAAAGGAAGGAAAAGGAAAGGAAAGGGAAGAACCGGACACACGAACGAGUCGGAUGAAGAUUUAUAGGGACGCGCGAUCUUCUAAUAAUCACGUGGUGGAAUGUCGAAGAAAACGGAGAAGAGGCAAAGGAAUUGGAUCGGAUCGGAGGAAAACUGGAUCACAUGCUAAUCAGAACCGCGUUAACCUCUAUUACAUUUAAUCGAAUGUAAUUGUACUAAAGCCUAUAAUGCUAGAGAUAAUUUGGCAGAGAAAGAACGACAGAGAGAGAGAGAGAGAGAGAGAAUGUGUAUGUGUGCGUGUGUGUGGAAAAGAGAGCGAGAAUGAGCGAGAAAGGAGAGGAACAAAUAUACGUACUUUAAAACGCGAGUGUCAUGAAAGUUGCGAGUCGGUCCUUGUAAUUGUAUAGUAGAGUAUGAAUGAGCGCCUGUGAAAACGUCUAAAGUGAUAUAUAUAUAUAUAUAUAUAUGCGUGUGUAUAUAUAUGUGUAUAUAUAUAUACAUAUAAAUAUAUAUAAUAUAUAUAAAAAAAAAAAGCAAAGAGAGCGAAAACGCGUGGUAUGGAAAUUUUAGCGAGCGAAUGAGAAUGACGAGCGAGCGAGCGAGCGAGCGAGCGAGCGAGCGAUGGUUUCAUGGAUUAAACGUUGUAUUCGCGUGGAAAAGAAAUUAUCCGUUAGGAAAACGUUUUAUUAUUUAUUCUCUUACACGUCGUACACGCGUAGAGUUCGUAGCGCGAUUAGGUGGUAAAAUGAAAGAAAACUAGCGGAAAAAGUGGACGGUCGUCCAGUCGUGUCUCUAUUUAGCGAGUAGAUGAACGGUUUAGUGUUCUUUAGAAGAUCGUUUAGAUAGGUUUUUCUCUAUAAUACCGCGGUGGCUCAGCGAGGGUUAUUUAGUAAUCGCGAACGUGCCAAGUGUGAUCUUCGAAUGUGUGUUUCUCCAGUGCCGGCAGGAUUCGAUAUGGAAAUGCGGAGAUGAAGAGAGCACGGAAUGCGGAGGAAGUUCCGGUAGAACGGCUGCACACUUAACGUUAUCUCUGGUUAGAGAACGAGGUUGCGAAUGGAUCGAACAGAGAGGAUGGAGCGAAGGGGUUGAACAUCGAUGCGAUAUUCGAUUACGUUGUCGUGAAGCCAGUGAAAUACCAGUGUGUGCUUGUAACGCAAUCCGUUAAAUUCCAGUGAUAUUACGGUGGUGAUCGAUCGAUUUGCCAGUAGUCUUGGCGAAUCGCGAAUACGUCGAACGAAACGGGGGAUCCUUUUCUGCGGAAAGUGUGCUGAUCGAAUGAAUGAAAACAGUGCUGUUAGGAGUGCGGUGGCCUCCGCCGGAGCAGACAGAAUCGAAUCGACUUGACAUUUCUUCAUCAGUGUCGUCGUAAGGUCAGUUAAAACAUUCUAUGCUUACUUGCACUUUCGUGUAUGUAUGUUUUUGUCUCAUCGUUGUUCCAAUCUUCUCCUCUUUAAGUAUUCCGUCAUUUUCUUCCAACCGUUUAUUUACAAUUAUUAUCUCGAGUUUAUUCUUUCGAUCGUAUACUGCUUGAAGAACAUGUCAAAAUGAACCAUCUUUGUUUAUUCUCGUCGGGCGCGUAGCUAAAAGAUUACGGGUAAUAUAUCGCUGUGUAUUAUAAUUAUAGAUUUUUUUUUUCGCAAGCAAAAAUACCGCGGCUACUUGAGUAAAAAGGUGUUUCCCAACAGUCCGGACCGAUUGUGUCAACAGACAAAUUAGCUUUCUUGUUAUAAAUAUACUUUUUGCUACUUUUCUUAUGUCCAAGAUACAAACUGCAUUUCGAUUUAGAGGAGAGAUUUAUAAUGUUUACUGUUCGAAUAUAUUACGGUAUACUUAAGAAAAUCGCGCAUUUUGUUGCAAACACCUUUCGUCAACGUAGAUGACGCGUCCAAGUAUUUAAAAAAAAAAAAAAACGUUUUGCGUAUUUACGCAACAGUAUUUGCGUUCGCCUUGUAAAUAUUCGAAGCAACGGUGAAAAAAUCUAACUCUUAUCAGAUAGAUCCUUGAUAGAACCAAAAUUCGAGGGAUCUUCAGGGGCGAGUGACCAUUAAAAAUUUAAUACUGCUCCGCGAGAUACGAGGCCAAGUUACCAAGUGAUGUAAUUCGUAACAUAUUUUUGGAAUAGGAUGCUUUCGGCAUGAAACCGCUUGGCACCUUAACAGCGAUUCUAGGAAGCAGAGCUGUCGAUCGAAAACGCUAUCCUGAUCCGCUCAUAGUUCAAAGCAUCCAUCUCUCUUUCGAGUAAAAAAGAUAUUCAAAAAGAGUAGAAAUGAAAAUUCAACAGCAUAUUCGUAGUUUCUUCGAAAGGCCGUACUGUUCCAGUUUAUUAUAUGUUCGAUCAAAAUUUUUAUUCGUGCAUAUCUGGAGAAAUUAUUCGCCUGAAACAAAGAUACAAAAUCAAAAUGGCUUCUUCAUUUAUUUGCAAGCAAGUAAAAAGAUUUUCAAAUGAAAUUUAGCAGAUUUUAUCCUUUUAGUAUUGUCAUUAAUGCACGGUCACUAGUCACAUGUUUGAACGCAUGUCCACUGUGGCCCUGGUUUUCUUUCCUUGCAUGUUUGUUGAAAUGUAAAACGAAGUCUAUUCAAAUGUUCGCGCCCAUAGAAACUGCGUUAAGUGUGCCAAGCAGUGGCCAAACGCACCAUCUGUCCGGGCCGGUCGAUAAAAAUGCUUGCGAUCGAUGACGGAUCGAUAACGCCGGAUCGUGACCUGGCCGAUGACAUCAUCGUGUCUAUCUAUCGGGCCGAGGACACGUCGGAGAACUCUGCCGCGGCGAAUUCUUGUGCUGUGUUGUAAAACUUAGAUCGACAUAAUUUAGUUUAUACCUUGUAUACACGCAAUUUAAUGAUAUACGUAAUAAACGAUAAUUAACGAAUACGUAAUAAUGUAUAAACGAUGACGACGAUGAAAUACGGCGGUAUUUAAAUGAAAUGGACAAAAACAGAAAACGAUAAAAAAAGAGAGGGGGAAGGUAAAGAAGAAUAUAAAUGUACAUAGGAGGAAAUAAUCUGGGGAUUUCGCGAAAUCUCGUUUACAUGUAGAUCGCACGGGUUCGAAGAAUGUUCCCGUGGGACGCGAAACGAUGUCCCGCGAACUUUCUUCCGGCCCGUCCUCGCAUUAAUGGGCAAAAAUAAAAAGGAGAAACGAUGAUCAUGAAAAAGAAAAAAAUGGAAAAAAAUCGGAGAUAUAUGAAACUGAUAUACGUAAUACAUGGUCCAGCUCGCGCACGCGCAUCGAUUGGGCACCGGCCGGCCUUUCUUUCUCCAGAGAUUUAUUUAUAUAUAACUUUUUGUCCUUGAGGAGCAACGAACUGUGAAAAACGGAAGAUCGUCGACGAUCGCUCGCUGUCUUUUGCGGACAGUUGUUCUUUUUUCGGGGGGAAGCGUCGAAACCCGUAUGUUUACGGUCAGAGGUCGUGAUUCUAAAUUGCUUGGGCAAAUUGGCGUCAAUUAAGCUCGAUAGCCCGUUGAGGGCCUCCGCGUCGUUGUCGGUAUAUGGGUUUUCGUGAAAGUUUUAACGAAAGAGGAACACCGGCGAUAAAUAACAAAUCUUUGAUUCUUGUUCCGAUCUAUUUACCUCGGAUUAUUGGCAUAUCGUUUUUACCUUUAUGUCAUUUCAUUGUUCGAUUAUGUCCAGGUCAGGUAGUCGUAUAAUUUUGCGGGUUAGGAUAGGAUUAUCUUUGUUUUAACCUUUACAUCGAAAGUUAUUUAUAAAAAGAUACUUAUAUAUACUUUUUGUAUUAUGUUUGUUAUUGCGUUUAACGCAAACUGUCACGCUUCGUUUGUUUAAUCAUUAAAUAUUUCCAAAACAUGUAUUUAUUGCAUAUGUACAUCCAACUGUCAACCAUGAAUAUUUUUGUUUCGCCAUCUUCUCACCAGUAGCUCUGUCUGUCGAUCGACAUCGAUAUCGAUUAGUUGUUCUUUGUCAUUCGAUUCAGUUUUCGACUCGCACGUCACGUUGGUUAGCAAAUUUUUUCCCUUUCUUGUCGAAAAAUAAAGUGUCUCCUUCUGUGUUGUUGAUCACAAUGUUUGCGAUAAAUCGAUUAAUCUUAUACGAUUGGGAUAUUGUUUUUGCGCGUUUCGCGGUAGAUAAGUGAGACAUGUGUUAAUUCUGACUGCAUUAAUCAGUGAUACCAUCUAUGUAGGCCAGGUAAUGGCCGACAUUGAAGCGUAGGGUGCGGCUUUCGAGACAAAGGAGGUAUUUAUUACUCUUGCAUCAUAGUAUCAACUGUUACGACACGGUGGUCAACAGUGCAGGCGAAAUUUCACGCAUAAAUGCCUGCUUGACAAACCGUUUUCGCAGGGGCUUCUCGCCGGGCACUACAUAGGUUAGCUACAUUAAUUCUCGUUGAAUGUUUAGUUGAUUGGCAAAAACACGUUCACAUUGUUGUGUCUCAAUUCAUGGCAGAGCAUAUGUUCAUAGCAGUAGGUCAAAUCAAUCGAUCAGAAAUUUUCUUAUUACCGUUCUUGCUUAUUCAAGGUCCUGUUGGGUGUGUAGGAACAAGAAAAAUUUGUUUGGUCUUUAUUGGUAAAUUUAUCACCGGUAUUUCUCUUGCCAACGAUCAUUCGUGACACGUGGAAAAACAGAAUUGUGCAAUAAUUACGCGUCACCGUUUAACGCACGCGUUACUCAGAGUUCUAUAUUUAUUUAAUCACCCGUCGUUUAGAUAAAAUGCAAUUUUGGACGAAAGGGAUAAACACAAAGAUUUUUCUAAAAAGAAAAAAAAAGAAGAAAAUCAGUGGACGUUAUGAAGUUUGUUACAUGCCGCGAGCGAUCGCCGUGAACGCCAGUUUAGCUUAAAGUGAAAAUUUUGUAUCCAUCGGAUAGCGAACACACACUACUACUUAUAUAGAGUAAAUAUAUAUGUAUAAAUGCGGCAAAAAAAGAGAGCUAAGGCGGAAAAGUGAAUUCCUAGCGUUAACUGGAAUGUGUAAAAUGCAAAUUAUAUAUUUUAUCUUUACUCUUAUAUAGUCGCGUAAAAAUUAAACAGAUAUACGUAAUUUAAAGAAGAGUGAAAAAGAAAGAAAGAGAAGAAAGAUGCGAGAGUACCGUGAUUGUGUGUAGAGGUAAAGCGAAGAGGCAAGAGGAUUAAGUGGGAAGGGAGUGAAGUUAGGAGGAAGAGAAAAAUAACGAUAGCAACAUGUGCGUACGUACGAAGUGAGUCACUAAGCUAGCGCUUAAUCGAUAAGGUUAACGUCUAAAGCCUAAGUCUUAAGAUGAUAAUUAAAUAGAAUUAAGGAAACGGGCAUAUCGGUUGCAGCGGGCGGGGGCGGUGGUCAUGGAAAAAACUAAAGAAACAUCUGGUCGAAAAAGUACUUUCGGUCGCCGUUCUAUGUACCAUGGGCAAUGCGCAAUUAAGUAACUAGCGUGGGGUUUGCGAUCGUGUAUAUAGUCAGUGUCUAUUUGGGGAGCUCGCAGACACCACCUAUCGGAUAAAGGAUUUAAAACGCUUGACAAGAAAUAAGCAGCUUUUGGUAUCCUCCAUAUUAAUGUAGUAGUACCGCGUAAUAUUUAUUGUUACCAUAUUGCGUGUAGCAAAAUGGAUUUUCUUUUGUUUCCAAUAAUCGCCCAAUAAAUAUUUUUUACUACAUAUAUCGUGCGUGAUUCAAUAAAAAUCUAUAGGUACGCUCUAAACAAUCGUUGUUAUUGUUUUAAUAUGAUAUUAACUUGUGAAAUUCGACUUUCAAUGUAUAUACUUACGAUAGUACGAGGGAUACUGUUGGAUAUAUUUAUUACAUAUUUUGAAGCUCAUUCUUCCACUGGCUUACAAUGUUCUUAAGCAGUUCGGUACGAAAAACUAUAUUACAAUUGGCAAAUAAUUAUAAACCACGUCCUCGCACGCCCAUGCGCCGAAGAGUUCCUGACUACCUGUCAGUCUCCAGACAGGUGUCGUUAGUUUCGUAUACCUUUCUAGGUACUGUAUAUCUAUCAAAAUAUGUAAAGAGAAAAAGGAAGGGUAGUCCAUCGCCUCUCUACUUCAGUCAAAGCGAAAUCCAUUACUCCGAGUGCUGUAACUUAAAAACGUUCAUCAUGCUGUACAAUUCAAUUAACCGUCUUUUAUACGAUACAAACGAAAACAUAAAAAAAAAAAAAAAUGGACUGACAGCCAAAACGAAAACACAAUUAAAAAUGGAUUCACUACUUCAUAUCGGUAAAAUAGAGGAAAAUUUGCUACGCUCGAUAAGGACAUACACGCCGUGAUAUCCUUAGACUUCUGUUUAAUUACGUCGCUUUAAUCGGUGUUUUUCUAUUGGUUUUAUUUUUGAAAAUGAUCGUUGUAUAGAAGUUGAGUACUUACGCUUUCGCCCAGCGUCGUAUCGUCUGAAUAAAGAUGUCUGAAUUAGAUGUCGCGUUUAAAAAUCUGGCUCGACGACUCGCUCACUAUACAUUCAUUGCAUUUGUAAAUAUACAGGUAAUUGUAAAGUAACGGGUAUUGAUUUUUCCGGCUGCAAUUUGAAAAGUCGUCGUCAUUGUUUCAGAAAAAUGUUUUUCCAAUUCAACGAAAAGUUUCCUAGAACGCGCGGUCUCAUUCAUAAUAAUUCCGCUGUGUGAAGACUGAUAGACCCGGUAACACGCUACGAAAACGUUGUUUUACACGAUAACAGUUUAAAACGUAUCCGAUUAAAAUAGUAUUGCGAGGUUCGUGUGCUACGAAUAGAAUUUCGCGCAUCUCGAGGUCGUCAUUUGGAGAAUUGAUUCAAGGUUUUUUUACUUCUAAAAAAAAUUCUAUCGGGGAAGAAAAAUAAGAACAAUAGUACUUAUCGAGGGUGGUGCGAUUUUUGUUGAAACGCGGCGAUGUAAGUCCUGUGUCACGGGCCACGCUGUUACAAGAGAAGCAUUGUAAAUAAUUCCACGCGAACGAAAUGGACGCAUCGACGAGGUUUUUUUUAUCGGCGGGGCAAUGUGAAAGGCGACGUCUGACGUCGUGGCAUUGAAUCGCGAGCCGCGACCACUGUAUACGAUACCGCGUAGGUAAAGUAGGUACCUGUUUAAUAGACUAAAAGGAUUACAAAGUAAUGGUAGCAGAGAACUAAUUAAUUACUAUUUAUUGAUACGGUACUGUAACGAUAUACGAGCAACGCCAUGGCAUACGGACGAUUCGACCACCUCCGAUGGUCUGAUUGCCUGUAACCGUGACGAGGAAAAUAGAGUAAAAGGAUGACAAUAUUAUUAAGAGCUGCCACGUUGUCGUCCCCAGAUGUAUGUACUUGUGAUCGCUCCAGUGUGUAGAGCUCUUAUGCUUUGUUUUCAAUAAAAUCUCGAAAAACGAUGAACAUCGCAUUUUCUAGAUAUCUAUUCCACAUUUGUAGACUUCUCUCUAUCAUUAUCUGUAUUUAUAGAUAUCGAUACUUACGGAUACCUAUAUUCACAGAUUCAUCCGUGCAAGUAGCUCGUACCAAUGCGAUUUUAUGAAUACAGCUUAAGAUAUCGUAGUACUGGAAUUAUGUACAUCAUCUUCUUUUUCGCUACAUCGACUGCACACUCGAGCCAUCAGUGUUACGUGGACACAUUGCUCCGACCGAACCGGUGGAACAUUCAUGUACAUGUUAUAUUGUACAAGAACAUAUUACACACGUACACACACAACAACCGCGCACGGACGCACGUACACACAUACGCAGCAGUACACGCCCAACACACAAAAAAGACCGGGUACAACGCAUUCGUUUGAAGCGGGUACGCGCGAUGCGGAAGAAAAAAAGAGAAACACAUUUAGAUAGGGGUGCGCCUACAGGCCGAAAAAUAUGUAGGCAACGCCACUUUACCGAAGUAUAAGUGGAAAAGAUGAUAUAAAUAAAAUAAAUCUAUAUAUAUAUAUAUAUAUAUAAAUUAUAUAUAUUUAAAUAUAAAUAUGAAAUAUAAAUAUAAAUAUAAAUAUAAUAGUAUUACGAAUUACGAUAAACGUAUAUAAUUAUUUUGUAGUGUCCUGCAUUAUGUAAACUAAAUGUACACAUGAGAGAAAAAAAAAUGUAUGUCAGCGAACGAUGUUGAUUAUAAAUGAUAACGAUGAUGAUAACGACGAUGACGACGAUGACGACGAUGACGGCGAUAAUGAUGGCGAUGAUGGUGACGACGAUUACGAUAAUAACGAUACGAUUGCAAUGACGAACGAUAUGCACGCGAAUGAACUAUGUAUUAUGAGUAAUGACAGCGACGAUGACGAUGGGAAACGAUAAUAGUAUUAUACGCUAUCAUGUCGACAAGUCUAAACCGUAUUGUAUUAUAUUAUAUAAGAGUCUGUCCAUAUUAAUAAUAAUUAUAUUAAUUAUAAUAGCUGUGUUUGAAAUCGAGAAAUAAAUUGUGGUUGAAUAUGAAAAUCAAAGAGAGUGUGAAGCUCGGUUUUCGGGCAAACACGGAUCAUCCGGGAUGUGUAUGGUUUUCUCUCCUUCAACUUUCGUUUCUACGUCCGACCGAACUUUAUCGAUCGAAUAUACGUGGUUGAAAGCAGUCACGUGGACUGUUGCUUGGGAUCGUUCGACCCGGCUUCGCGAGAUUCAUCGUACCUUCGUGCGUGCAUCGUCCUUUCUCUCUUUUCCAUUAAUUAACCGAUUGAUAGAACUUCAUCGAUUGUUUUAUUUUAAUGUCAGCAGCGAGUAUAUAAUUACGCUACUGGUUUUAAAGUUCGAGACCGUGUUCAUGAUCAUUGUAUCUUGGAAUAUGGCAGACAAAUAGCUAUAAUUACCAUCUGUCAUUUUACAACGCCUUAAUAAUCAUCAUGAGACGUCAUUAAAUUCAUCAGCCAUAUAUCUCGUAACUUAAACGAUACACCAAAUCACGAUAAGAUAUAGAGACGAGUUCGACGAUCGUAUUAACUAAUGUCCCUCGUUGUAAUUAAAUUGAAAUUAGAACGAUCGGAUAAUCAUCGCCGGAGGGUGAUCUCGAAUUCCGAUGAUUGAUAACCAUACGUAGCUCUAAUUCGUGGCAUGUGACGUAUUUGGCAAGGUGGUGCCGGAACGAUGUUCGAAUUCGGGUCGAUCGGCUGGACGUCUUUCACGGUCGAACGAAAAUAUCGGCGGUUCGCCGCUACGCCACUGGGACCCUUCGAAAAGGUUGCCCGGUAACCCGAAGGUUGCAUUUAUACGAAUUGUGGCGGAAGGAACCAUUGUAUAAUCCAAGAUGGCCUCCACCUCGGAGAGGAUUAUUAUUGGCUAAUACGAGGCAAGAGGCUCCGCCUUGGCUCACGGCUCGUGACGGGAUGAUUUAUUGGGAUUUCUGUCUGUUCGCCCCUGCGCUGCAACGAACAUACCGUGUGCCUAGCUUCUAGGAGGCCGGUACGCCUGGAACACCGCGAUAUUGGAUUUCGACAUUUCGCCCAACUGCAGCAGUAACAGCCCGCGGAUUUCUUCUAUACGUCGUAUAGAUGUCUCUAUUCUCGCUUUGUCCACGUGGAAUUCCAUGUGUCUUUGCCUGACCUAAUUUCCCCUUCCUAUUUCAGCGCUGCUUUACUCCAUCGCUCUUUCGUUCGAUCCGCUAAUGAAAUUUUCGACGAAGAUUACCUCGCCCAGCUUCUGCAGUUCCAGCUUUGUUGAUAUUUGAUAUAGCACGGUGAAAUAAUUUGAUCCAGCUGCUAGACGCCAAACUAUGUAUAUACGUAAGUGGAAAUUCGAAGGCUCGAUGCAGUCGUUCUUGAGUUAUGAGUGCAAUCGAGAAGUGGGUGAAGAUCAAACAAGCGUGUCGACUCGAACGUCUGUCAGGUCAAUUGACGGUUUGCCUCCCUUCGUUAUUUAUGGUCAAGGACGUUCUGCCAGUAGAGUCGCUCGUAUCAACUCGCCGCUAGGUCAUUAGACUAUCCAGAUCUGCUUGACGAACUGACAUCCACUGAACGUAAGAAAUCUGUUUCAAAGAACAGUACCUAACGGUAAGUAUUCAUUCGUCUAAUUAACUCUGCGUAACAAACAAACGAGAAAUAAAAUAAAGAACUAAACAGAAUCUUAAAACAUGCACUCGGUACGUUUAAAAUAUCAACAAUGAAUUGUCAAAGUAAAUUGAACUGAAUAAUUCCCACUUUCGACCAUUCACAACGCUGUCUCGCCAACUCCUGAACAUUAUCAAGCACGUGAAACAGAAUCGUCAUCGAGUGCAUCCAGGUUGCAACGUAGAAGGGUGGGGGGCGAAGAAGAAGGAAGAUGGAAAGGACGGAAAAGAAAGAGACAGACGGAUACGACGGACGAAGAGGGGGAGAAGUGUGAGGCGGUCGAGUGAAGAGCCGGCAAGAUAGAGGGGCUCGGCGGGAGGAUGGCGGUCAGAAUUUAUGGCCGCUUUAUCACUUUACCGGCCUUGCCGCGUCUCCUUUAGCCGCGAGGAGGGCAGGAUCUCACGAUGAACUUUGGCACUCGACUCCGCCGCACUCGACGAACGGUGAGCCCCUCUAACUUUCUUGUUUACUCGCGUUUCGCCGAAGAGAGAUUACGCGUACACCUGUUUCCUCUUUCACCCUUUCCCAGUAUCCUACAACCGAAUCAGACACCGCUUGGGAAUGGAAAUUGCCUGCUGAUGAUUACACUGAGUUUUAAACCGAGUCAUCGAGGGUGCACGAACCUGUGACCAGUGGUUUUCAUAAAUUUGAUUUAUCUUUUAUUUAUCUUACCCUCAUUGGAGAAUAUUUCGACGUGUAAAACAUUCAGACAGACCCACGAGGAUUACAGUUACCGCUAUCGAGGAAAAAUCUGCAAGAAGCGGGUCCGACGCACAGAUCGGGGCGUUCCACGUGUCACCUCUGGCGCAGGAAGAAAACCGCGCGCGGCAGGCGUCGCGAAAUUUACGCGAGGCCGUUCAGGCGUCGUGACGCGCGUACGACUGCAUAACGCAUAAAGUAACCCCCAUUAACAGACCAUAAAUUCAAUCCCUGCGGCACCGUUGUUAUGUAUGAGCGUCGUUAGUGUUAAUAGAGUGUUAAUUGCUCCUAUACCGCUCUCGAUUCUGUUCAGGACGUAGGUGACGGAGCCGCUGAUGGUGGUAGAAGGCGAGACGGACGAGCGGUGAGAAAGAGAGACGAGGAGAGAGUAUGCCAUGGAGAGAGACCGUAGAGGAUUCUCGGUUGCGUGUUGUCCAGCUACUACUAGCGCCGUGCUUCUGCUGUUUUGCAUAGGGAAUGCAUCAAUUUUCGGCGCUUCUCGUUCACAGAUCCCUCUCUUCCUUUUACUCUCUUUCUCUCUUUACCACCCUUCUUGCCUCUAUCUUCGUACUCUCUGCCCCUAGCCGAGCGCAGCCUAACUUCCGGCACGCACAACUUCCACCGUUACCCCCACCAGCAUAGUGUUUCCCGUAACUGUAAUUCGCAUAGAAGAUAAUUGAUAUCCCUGUUGGUCGCUUCCCUCCAUCAGCGUACGUGAUCGCCACUUUCGUGACGUUUGUAGUAACGAUGAUCGUUUGCGAUUUUCUUGUUGCCCUCCGAUGGGACUUUGUGUCGCGGAUUUACGAUUGCUUAUAUCGAUUCCGGUAAUUCCGAUCUUCGUCCAGGAUAUAGCGCUCGACUGAGUAUAAAUGAAGUUUUCGGUACACGUGUCGAUAUAGCGGAUAAGUGGAAUGUAAAGUUGUUCGUUAGAUUUCAUUAUUCUUUGGGCUCACAUAGUAGAUAUCUUUAGUUAAGACGUUUUUCCUUAUCUUCCCUCAUUGAUCUAAUUAUAUAACUGCGAUUAUAGAAGCCUUUUUAUAGUUCCUUCUUUAAUAUUGUAAUUUAGAAUUGACAGUUCAGCUAAUGGCUCUUAAAGAAGAAGAAUUUCUAUAUUUACAAAUUAGUGCAAAUUUAGUAGUCUAAUUAUUUGGAUAGAAAAUACAUUCCUCCUGAAUGAGCCCA
Long non-coding RNA from Bombus impatiens (common eastern bumble bee), 12066 nucleotides. RefSeq lists it as uncharacterized. The record is from RefSeq and is a predicted model, not a curated record. NCBI's taxonomy places the organism in Eukaryota, Metazoa, Arthropoda, Insecta, Hymenoptera, Apidae. The transcript is spliced from 3 exons.